GCGCGAAAACUUUACAAUGCCGGCAACGGCGAUAAGGGGACCUCGAGUGCCAGGUUACAAAUCUGGCUGUCGUGAUGCCUAAAAAGCAUUGCAUAGCAAGGGCCGGGCAAGACCGGUGCCAGCCGCCGCGGUAACACCGGCGGCUCGAGUGGUAACCGUUAUUAUUGGGUCUAAAGGGUCUGUAGCCGGCCGGAUAAGUCUCUUGAGAAAUCCAGCAGCUCAACUGUUGGGCUUUCAGGAGAUACUGUCUGGCUCGAGGCCGGGAGAGGUGAGAGGUACUUCAGGGGUAGGGUGAAAUCUUGUAAUCCUUGAAGGACCACCAGUGGCGAAGGCGUCUCACCAGAACGGACCUGACGGCAAGGGACGAAAGCUAGGGGCACGAACCGGAUUAGAGACCCCA
This 400-nucleotide ribosomal RNA is filed under the name uncultured bacterium. RNAcentral describes it as "bacterial SSU rRNA". It matches the Rfam family "Archaeal small subunit ribosomal RNA", at positions 339 to 740 of the family's 1478-position model. The record is from RNAcentral.